Molecule: ribosomal RNA, 232 nt
Filed under: uncultured bacterium
Lineage: Bacteria
Description: partial 16S ribosomal RNA
Rfam family: Bacterial small subunit ribosomal RNA
Source: RNAcentral
AAAACCUACGGGACGCAGCAGUAGGGAAUCUUCCACAAUGGACGAAAGUCUGAUGGAGCAACGCCGCGUGAGUGAAGAAGGGUUUCGGCUCGUAAAACUCUGUUGGUAGUGGAGAAAGAUAGAGGUAGUAACUGGCCUUUAUUUUGCGGUAAUUACUUAGAAAGUCACGGCUAACUAAGUGCCAGCAGCCGCGGUAAUACGUAGGUGGCAAGCGUUGUCCGGAUUUAUUGGG